CGAGUGGCGAACGGGUGAGUAAUACAUCGGAACGUGCCCUGUAGUGGGGGAUAACUAGUCGAAAGAUUAGCUAAUACCGCAUACGACCUGAGGGUGAAAGUGGGGGACCGCAAGGCCUCAUGCUAUAGGAGCGGCCGAUGUCUGAUUAGCUAGUUGGUGGGGUAAAGGCCCACCAAGGCGACGAUCAGUAGCUGGUCUGAGAGGACGAUCAGCCACACUGGGACUGAGACACGGCCCAGACUCCUACGGGAGGCAGCAGUGGGGAAUUUUGGACAAUGGGCGAAAGCCUGAUCCAGCAAUGCCGCGUGUGUGAAGAAGGCCUUCGGGUUGUAAAGCACUUUUGUCCGGAAAGAAAUGGCUCUGGUUAAUACCUGGGGUCGAUGACGGUACCGGAAGAAUAAGGACCGGCUAACUACGUGCCAGCAGCCGCGGUAAUACGUAGGGUCCAAGCGUUAAUCGGAAUUACUGGGCGUAAAGCGUGCGCAGGCGGUUGUGCAAGACCGAUGUGAAAUCCCCGAGCUUAACUUGGGAAUUGCAUUGGUGACUGCACGGCUAGAGUGUGUCAGAAGGGGGUAGAAUUCCACGUGUAGCAGUGAAAUGCGUAGAGAUGUGGAGGAAUACCGAUGGCGAAGGCAGCCCCCUGGGAUAACACUGACGCUCAUGCACGAAAGCGUGGGGAGCAAACAGGAUUAGAUACCCU
Molecule: ribosomal RNA, 700 nt
Filed under: uncultured bacterium
Lineage: Bacteria
Description: bacterial SSU rRNA
Rfam family: Bacterial small subunit ribosomal RNA
Source: RNAcentral